GACGAACGCUGGCGGCGCGCCUAACACAUGCAAGUCGAACGGUGAAGAGGAGCUUGCUCCUCGGAACAGUGGCGGACGGGUGAGUAACACGUGAGCAACCUGGCUCUAAGAGGGGGACAACAGUUGGAAACGACUGCUAAUACCGCAUGACGUAUCGGGAUGGCAUCUUCCUGAUACCAAAGAUUUUAUCGCUUAGAGAUGGGCUCGCGUCUGAUUAGAUAGUUGGCGGGGUAACGGCCCACCAAGUCGACGAUCAGUAGCCGGACUGAGAGGUUGAACGGCCACAUUGGGACUGAGACACGGCCCAGACUCCUACGGGAGGCAGCAGUGGGGGAUAUUGGACAAUGGGGGCAACCCUGAUCCAGCGACGCCGCGUGAGGGAAGAAGGUUUUCGGAUUGUAAACCUCUGUUGACGGAGAAAAAAAUGAUGGUAUCCGUUUAGAAAGCCACGGCUAACUACGUA
RNAcentral lists this ribosomal RNA (463 nucleotides) under uncultured bacterium. Its description in RNAcentral is "partial 16S ribosomal RNA". It matches the Rfam family "Bacterial small subunit ribosomal RNA", at positions 28 to 507 of the family's 1533-position model. The record is from RNAcentral.